GGUUAAGCGACUAAGCGUACACGGUGGAUGCCCUGGCAGUCAGAGGCGAUGAAGGACGUGCUAAUCUGCGAAAAGCGUCGGUAAGGUGAUAUGAACCGUUACAGCCGGCGAUGUCCGAAUGGGGAAACCCAGUGCAAUUCGUUGCACUAUCGUUAACUGAAUACAUAGGUUAACGAGGCGAACCGGGGGAACUGAAACAUCUAAGUACCCCGAGGAAAAAAAAUCAACCGAGAUUCCCCCAGUAGCGGCGAGCGAACGGGGAGCAGCCCAGAGUCUGAAUCAGCUUGUGUGUUAGUGGAACGGUCUGGAAAGUCCGACGGUACAGGGUGAUAGUCCCGUACACCAAAAUGCACAGGCUGUGAACUCGAAGAGUAGGGCGGGACACGUGGUAUCCUGUCUGAAUAUGGGGGGACCAUCCUCCAAGGCUAAAUACUCCUGACUGACCGAUAGUGAACCAGUACCGUGAGGGAAAGGCGAAAAGAACCCCGGCGAGGGGAGUGAAAAAGAACCUGAAACCGUGUACGUACAAGCAGUGGGAGCACCUUCGGGUGUGACUGCGUACCUUUUGUAUAAUGGGUCAGCGACUUAUAUUCUGUAGCAAGGUUAACCGUAUAGGGGAGCCGCAGGGAAACCGAGUCUUAACUGGGCGUUAAGUUGCAGGGUAUAGACCCGAAACCCGGUGAUCUAGCCAUGGGCAGGUUGAAGGUUGGGUAACACUAACUGGAGGACCGAACCGACUAAUGUUGAAAAAUUAGCGGAUGACUUGUGGCUGGGGGUGAAAGGCCAAUCAAACCGGGAGAUAGCUGGUUCUCCCCGAAAGCUAUUUAGGUAGCGCCUCGUGAAUUCAUCUUCGGGGGUAGAGCACUGUUUCGGCUAGGGGGUCAUCCCGACUUACCAACCCGAUGCAAACUACGAAUACCGAAGAAUGUUAUCACGGGAGACACACGGCGGGUGCUAACGUCCGUCGUGAAGAGGGAAACAACCCAGACCGCCAGCUAAGGUCCCAAAGUCAUGGUUAAGUGGGAAACGAUGUGGGAAGGCACAGACAGCCAGGAUGUUGGCUUAGAAGCAGCCAUCAUUUAAAGAAAGCGUAAUAGCUCACUGGUCGAGUCGGCCUGCGCGGAAGAUGUAACGGGGCUAAACCAUGCACCGAAGCUGCGGCAGCGACACUAUGUGUUGUUGGGUAGGGGAGCGUUCUGUAAGCCUGCGAAGGUGACCUGUGAGGGUUGCUGGAGGUAUCAGAAGUGCGAAUGCUGACAUAAGUAACGAUAAAGCGGGUGAAAAGCCCGCUCGCCGGAAGACCAAGGGUUCCUGUCCAACGUUAAUCGGGGCAGGGUGAGUCGACCCCUAAGGCGAGGCCGAAAGGCGUAGUCGAUGGGAAACAGGUUAAUAUUCCUGUACUUGGUGUUACUGCGAAGGGGGGACGGAGAAGGCUAUGUUAGCCGGGCGACGGUUGUCCCGGUUUAAGCAUGUAGGCUGGUUAUCCAGGCAAAUCCGGAUAAUCAAGGCUGAGGUGUGAUGACGAGGCACUACGGUGCUGAAGUAACAAAUGCCCUGCUUCCAGGAAAAGCCUCUAAGCAUCAGGUAACAUCAAAUCGUACCCCAAACCGACACAGGUGGUCAGGUAGAGAAUACCAAGGCGCUUGAGAGAACUCGGGUGAAGGAACUAGGCAAAAUGGUGCCGUAACUUCGGGAGAAGGCACGCUGGUGUGUAGGUGAAGUCCCUGCGGAUGGAGCUGAGACCAGUCGAAGAUACCAGCUGGCUGCAACUGUUUAUUAAAAACACAGCACUGUGCAAACACGAAAGUGGACGUAUACGGUGUGACGCCUGCCCGGUGCCGGAAGGUUAAUUGAUGGGGUUAUCCGUAAGGAGAAGCUCUUGAUCGAAGCCCCGGUAAACGGCGGCCGUAACUAUAACGGUCCUAAGGUAGCGAAAUUCCUUGUCGGGUAAGUUCCGACCUGCACGAAUGGCGUAAUGAUGGCCAGGCUGUCUCCACCCGAGACUCAGUGAAAUUGAACUCGCUGUGAAGAUGCAGUGUACCCGCGGCAAGACGGAAAGACCCCGUGAACCUUUACUAUAGCUUGACACUGAACAUUGAGCCUUGAUGUGUAGGAUAGGUGGGAGGCUUUGAAGCGUGGACGCCAGUCUGCGUGGAGCCAACCUUGAAAUACCACCCUUUAAUGUUUGAUGUUCUAACGUUGGCCCCUUACCGGGGUUGCGGACAGUGUCUGGUGGGUAGUUUGACUGGGGCGGUCUCCUCCCAAAGCGUAACGGAGGAGCACGAAGGUUAGCUAAUCCUGGUCGGACAUCAGGAGGUUAGUGCAAUGGCAUAAGCUAGCUUGACUGCGAGCGUGACGGCGCGAGCAGGUGCGAAAGCAGGUCAUAGUGAUCCGGUGGUUCUGAAUGGAAGGGCCAUCGCUCAACGGAUAAAAGGUACUCCGGGGAUAACAGGCUGAUACCGCCCAAGAGUUCAUAUCGACGGCGGUGUUUGGCACCUCGAUGUCGGCUCAUCACAUCCUGGGGCUGAAGUAGGUCCCAAGGGUAUGGCUGUUCGCCAUUUAAAGUGGUACGCGAGCUGGGUUUAGAACGUCGUGAGACAGUUCGGUCCCUAUCUGCCGUGGGCGCUGGAGAAUUGAGGGGGGCUGCUCCUAGUACGAGAGGACCGGAGUGGACGCAUCACUGGUGUUCGGGUUGUCAUGCCAAUGGCACUGCCCGGUAGCUAAAUGCGGAAGAGAUAAGUGCUGAAAGCAUCUAAGCACGAAACUUGCCCCGAGAUGAGUUCUCCCUGAGACUUUAAGUCUCCUGAAGGAACGUUAAAGACGAUGACGUUGAUAGGCCGGGUGUGUAAGCGCAGCGAUGCGUUGAGCUAACCGGUACUAAUGAACCGUGAGGCUUAACCUU
This 2902-nucleotide ribosomal RNA is filed under the name Klebsiella pneumoniae. RNAcentral's name for it is "23S ribosomal RNA". It matches the Rfam family "Bacterial large subunit ribosomal RNA". Lineage: Bacteria; Pseudomonadati; Pseudomonadota; Gammaproteobacteria; Enterobacterales; Enterobacteriaceae. The record is from RNAcentral.